Molecule: ribosomal RNA, 462 nt
Filed under: uncultured bacterium
Lineage: Bacteria
Description: bacterial SSU rRNA
Rfam family: Bacterial small subunit ribosomal RNA
Source: RNAcentral
ACCCUNAUCCACCAUGCCGCGUGUGUGAAGAAGGCUUUUGGUUGUAAAGCACUUUAAGCAGUGAAGAAGACUCCGUGGUUAAUACCCACGGACGAUGACAUUAGCUGCAGAAUAAGCACCGGCUAACUCUGUGCCAGCAGCCGCGGUAAUACAGAGGGUGCAAGCGUUAAUCGGAAUUACUGGGCGUAAAGCGAGCGUAGGUGGCUUGAUAAGUCAGAUGUGAAAUCCCCGGGCUUAACCUGGGAACUGCAUCUGAUACUGUUAGGCUAGAAUAGGUGAGAGGAAGGUAGAAUUCCAGGUGUAGCGGUGAAAUGCGUAGAGAUCUGGAGGAAUACCGAUGGCGAAGGCAGCCUUCUGGCAUCAUAUUGACACUGANGUUCGAAAGCGUGGGUAGCAACAGGAUUANAUACCUGGUAUCCACGCCGUAAACGAUGCUACUAUCGUUGGGUCCUUGAGGACUUA